This 519-nucleotide ribosomal RNA is filed under the name Songthela hangzhouensis. RNAcentral's name for it is "partial 16S ribosomal RNA". It matches the Rfam family "Bacterial large subunit ribosomal RNA", at positions 1783 to 2629 of the family's 2925-position model. Lineage: Eukaryota; Metazoa; Arthropoda; Arachnida; Araneae; Liphistiidae. The record is from RNAcentral.
AUAGAGCUUCCAUGGCGCCUGUUUAUCAAAAACAUGGUUUUUUGAAUAUAAUAAAAAAUCUAACCUGCUCCAUGCUUAUGUAAAUAGCCGCAGUAUUAUGACUGUGCUAAGGUAGCAUAAUCAUUUGUCUUUUAAAUGAGGUCUAGAAUGAAAGGUUGGUCGAAGGAAAACCUUUCUUUUUAUUAAAAAAUGAAUUUAAUUAAUAAGUAAAAAGGCUAAUAUAAAUUUGAAGGACGAUAAGACCCUAUUAAGCUUAAUUUUAUAAUUUUACUGGGGUGGUAAUGUAAGAUAAGAAUCUUACUUAAAAUGAGUAAAUUUUAUUGACCCAAAUAUUGUUGAGGAAAAGAUAAAGUUACUAUAGGGAUAACAGCUUAAUUUACCUUUAAAGCUCUUAUUUAAGGGUAAGUUUGAGACCUCGAUGUUGAAUUAAGGUGUCUUUUUAGUGAAGAAGCUAUAGUUAGAAAGUCUGUUCGACUUUUAAAUCCUUACGUGAUCUGAGUUCAGACCGGCCAUGGGAAG